ACAAGGAUUUCCCCUGUAUUCCCUAACGUUUUCAGCGUUUUACCGACCCCCGUUCUUAAUUACCGGCACUUUUCCCGAUUUCAAGAGGGUAAAUCAUCUAUUUUAUCAAUUCUUAUUCAGAAUAUUAAAUUGCCUAAAAAAACAUUAGACUGUAAUUUUUAAAUUUUGGUUAAGAUUCGAUUUCGUAAGGGCAUUGAUACAGGUGUGAUGAUGAAUUCCGUUAUCCUCCUAUUUUUUAUACCGCUAUAUGAUAAAUUGAUAAUUAAUAGAGUAUUUAGCAAGAUAUUAUUAAUCAAAGCACGACGAUUUGUAAAGUACGCCGCGGUCAUUUUGAUAACGCUUUUCUUAGCGACAUCUAGUGGAGGCAAUUGUUGUGAAAUCGUCAGUGAAAGUCGUUAAAUUGUUUCAGUUUAAAUCUCUAAAAAAUGGCUCCAAUGAAACCGGGAACAGCGCGAGUGCGAUCAUCACCUCUUGAUAAAAAUAGUCAGGAAUACCGAGAGGGUCGUGAAAAGAACAAUAUUGCCGUUAGAAAAAGCAGAAUGAAAAGUCGCUUAAAGCAAUUAGAAACAAAUCAGCUGGUGGAAGAAUUAAAAAAAGAAAAUGCAGAAUUAAAAGAAAGAGUUAAUCUGUUAUCUAAAGAAUUGGGGGUUUUAAAAGAUUUGUUCAUCACUUAUGCAGAGGACAAAUCUUGACGAAAAUUUAAUGUUAUGACGACUUUAGUGGAUCAUUUUUUGUAGAUUUCAAUAUUUAUAACUUGCUUACAGAGUUGUUUCAGUUUGUCUUUAUCUUUUAAUAAAAUUUUCAAAACUUUUCAAUUUA
This 819-nucleotide unclassified non-coding RNA is filed under the name Dimorphilus gyrociliatus. Its description in RNAcentral is "bZIP domain-containing protein". The record is from RNAcentral. Lineage: Eukaryota; Metazoa; Annelida; Polychaeta; Dinophilidae.